Molecule: ribosomal RNA, 759 nt
Filed under: uncultured bacterium
Lineage: Bacteria
Description: bacterial SSU rRNA
Rfam family: Bacterial small subunit ribosomal RNA
Source: RNAcentral
GAUGAACGCUAGCUACAGGCUUAACACAUGCAAGUCGAGGGGCAGCAUGGUCUUAGCUUGCUAAGGCCGAUGGCGACCGGCGCACGGGUGAGUAACACGUAUCCAACCUGCCGUCUACUCUUGGACAGCCUUCUGAAAGGAAGAUUAAUACAAGAUGGCAUCAUGAGUCCGCAUGUUCACAUGAUUAAAGGUAUUCCGGUAGACGAUGGGGAUGCGUUCCAUUAGAUAGUAGGCGGGGUAACGGCCCACCUAGUCUUCGAUGGAUAGGGGUUCUGAGAGGAAGGUCCCCCACAUUGGAACUGAGACACGGUCCAAACUCCUACGGGAGGCAGCAGUGAGGAAUAUUGGUCAAUGGGCGAGAGCCUGAACCAGCCAAGUAGCGUGAAGGAUGACUGCCCUAUGGGUUGUAAACUUCUUUUAUAAAGGAAUAAAGUCGGGUAUGCAUACCCGUUUGCAUGUACUUUAUGAAUAAGGAUCGGCUAACUCCGUGCCAGCAGCCGCGGUAAUACGGAGGAUCCGAGCGUUAUCCGGAUUUAUUGGGUUUAAAGGGAGCGUAGAUGGAUGUUUAAGUCAGUUGUGAAAGUUUGCGGCUCAACCGUAAAAUUGCAGUUGAUACUGGAUAUCUUGAGUGCAGUUGAGGCAGGCGGAAUUCGUGGUGUAGCGGUGAAAUGCUUAGAUAUCACGAAGAACUCCGAUUGCGAAGGCAGCCUGCUAAGCUGCAACUGACGCUGAGGCACGAGAGCGUGGGUAGCGAACAGG